CAGAAAAUAGUUUAUUAAAAUUUUAAUUUUGGAGAUUAAAGAUAGAAGAUUAUUUCUUUUUCUGA
This 65-nucleotide transfer RNA is filed under the name Oxypoda opaca. Its description in RNAcentral is "tRNA-Pro". Lineage: Eukaryota; Metazoa; Arthropoda; Insecta; Coleoptera; Staphylinidae. The record is from RNAcentral.